This 460-nucleotide ribosomal RNA is filed under the name uncultured bacterium. RNAcentral's name for it is "partial 16S ribosomal RNA". It matches the Rfam family "Bacterial small subunit ribosomal RNA", at positions 338 to 795 of the family's 1533-position model. The record is from RNAcentral.
CCUACGGGGGGCUGCAGUGAGGAAUAUUGGUCAAUGGACGAGAGUCUGAACCAGCCAAGUAGCGUGAAGGAUGACUGCCCUAUGGGUUGUAAACUUCUUUUAUAUGGGAAUAAAAUGUUCCACGUGUGGGAUUUUGUAUGUACCAUAUGAAUAAGGAUCGGCUAACUCCGUGCCAGCAGCCGCGGUAAUACGGAGGAUCCGAGCGUUAUCCGGAUUUAUUGGGUUUAAAGGGAGCGUAGGUGGAUUGUUAAGUCAGUUGUGAAAGUUUGCGGCUCAACCGUAAAAUUGCAGUUGAAACUGGCAGUCUUGAGUACAGUAGAGGUGGGCGGAAUUCGUGGUGUAGCGGUGAAAUGCUUAGAUAUCACGAAGAACUCCGAUUGCGAAGGCAGUUCACUGGACUGCAACUGAUACUGAGGCUCGAAAGUGUAGGUAUCAAACAGGAUUAGAUACCCUUGUAGUC